Molecule: ribosomal RNA, 253 nt
Filed under: uncultured bacterium
Lineage: Bacteria
Description: partial 16S ribosomal RNA
Rfam family: Bacterial small subunit ribosomal RNA
Source: RNAcentral
GACAGAGGAUGCAAGCGUUAUCCGGAAUUACUGGGCGUAAAGCGUGCGCAGGCGGUUUUGUAAGCCAGAUGUGAAAUCCCCGGGCUCAACCUGGGAACUGCAUUUGGGACUGCAAGGCUAGAGUACGGCAGAGGGGGGUAGAAUUCCUGGUGUAGCAGUGAAAUGCGUAGAUAUCAGGAGGAAUACCGAUGGCGAAGGCAGCCCCCUGGGUCGAUACUGACGCUCAUGCACGAAAGCGUGGGGAGCAAACAGG